RNAcentral lists this ribosomal RNA (142 nucleotides) under uncultured bacterium. RNAcentral's name for it is "partial 16S ribosomal RNA". It matches the Rfam family "Bacterial small subunit ribosomal RNA", at positions 316 to 456 of the family's 1533-position model. The record is from RNAcentral.
UACGGGAGGCAGCAUUGGGGAAUCUUACGGGAGGCAGCAGUGAGGAAUAUUGCACAAUGGGGGGAACCAUGAUGCAGCAACGCCGCGUGGAGGAUGACGCAUUUAGGUGUGUAAACUCCUUUAUAUGUCAAGAAAAUGACGG